This 440-nucleotide ribosomal RNA is filed under the name uncultured bacterium. RNAcentral's name for it is "partial 16S ribosomal RNA". It matches the Rfam family "Bacterial small subunit ribosomal RNA", at positions 338 to 795 of the family's 1533-position model. The record is from RNAcentral.
CCUACGGGAGGCAGCAGUGGGGAAUAUUGCACAAUGGGGGAAACCCUGAUGCAGCGACGCCGCGUGAGUGAAGAAGUAAUUCGGUAUGUAAAGCUCUAUCAGCAGGGAAGAAAAUGACGGUACCUGAGUAAGAAGCCCCGGCUAACUACGUGCCAGCAGCCGCGGUAAUACGUAGGGGGCAAGCGUUAUCCGGAUUUACUGGGUGUAAAGGGAGCGUAGACGGCAGAGCAAGUCUGGAGUGAAAGGCCAGGGCUCAAACCCCGGACUGCUGUUGAAACUGUACGGCUGGAGUGCAGGAGAGGUAAGUGGAAUUCCUAGUGUAGCGGUGAAAUGCGUAGAUAUUAGGAGGAACACCAGUGGCGAAGGCGGCUUACUGGACUGUAACUGACGUUGAGGCUCGAAAGCGUGGGGAGCAAACAGGAUUAGAUACCCCUGUAGUC